This 306-nucleotide long non-coding RNA is filed under the name Anas platyrhynchos platyrhynchos (common mallard). Its description in RNAcentral is "lncRNA (ENSAPLG00000019279.1)". The record is from RNAcentral. Lineage: Eukaryota; Metazoa; Chordata; Aves; Anseriformes; Anatidae.
AUGUUAUUGCCUCUCCUCUGCAUCAGGAGCUCUGGGAAUCCCUCACUUGAUGUAUUUGCAGUGACAAGUCCCACCGGUGGAAGACGAUGGCCGUGCUGUACUGAAGGCCCCCGCUGCAUUUCUAACCACAAGUGAAACUGCACAUAGGCUGGUGGCUGUUCUGCCUGCAGUUCACAGGUCUUCAGAGUAAGACUCAGCUUACCACAUGGAGCAGUAAGCUAAUGCUUAGAUUUCAUUCAUGCACUUAAAGUAAAAAAAUGUUUACCCUGCAUGUUCAUACUCCUGUCAGCUUUGAGAGCAGCAAAG